Molecule: ribosomal RNA, 207 nt
Filed under: uncultured bacterium
Lineage: Bacteria
Description: partial 16S ribosomal RNA
Rfam family: Bacterial small subunit ribosomal RNA
Source: RNAcentral
CGCGUAGGCGGUUGGAUAAGUCAGCUGUGAAAACCACGAGCUUAACUUGUGGCCUGCAGUUGAAACUGUCUGGCUAGAGUGUGGGAGAGGGAAGUGGAAUUCCUGGUGUAGCGGUGAAAUGCGUAGAUAUCAGGAGGAACACCGGUGGCGAAGGCGGCUUCCUGGACCACAACUGACGCUGAGGCGCGAAAGCUAGGGGAGCAAACA